UUAUAAAAAAUGUAAAGCAUAAAAUUCUCUACAUUUUAUGUUCUAAUAUUUUUUUUCUCAGAUCAAUAGUUUCCGAGAUAGUUUUCAGAGAAAAAUGAAAUAUUCUGACAAAUUGGAAAAAAUACUCCACUUUAUCGCAUUGUAUUUCGGAAACUAUUGAUCUGAGAAAAAAAAAGUUACAACAUAAAAUGUAUGUAGAGAAUUUUAUGCUUUACAUUUUUUAUAAUAACUAUUUUUCACGUAUCUCACACCGGAGAUGAAAUAUUUGUAAAACAGUGAUUUUUUGCUCCAUUUUUUCAAUAUGGCAGCGCGAGCGGCAAUGUUUCAAAAACUCAAAGUAUUAAUUAGUAUGCUAAACCUAAAAACUAUGCCAAGUAUAAAAUUUCCUUGACCUUUUGUAAGGUAAAACUGCCUAUUGUCUGAACUAAAGAUUCCUGCGCGCGGGUUGAUGCGCGGAUCGAUGCGCAAGGACAAUGCGCAGAUCCUAAUCGAUGUCUACGGUGUCCCAGCUCGCUCACGCCGUCUCACUGUUUAGCGAGACGACAUCGGGAGCGGUCACCGACGACGUCGCAUAGACUGUAAGACCGGGGACUUCGUUCUGGGGAGCCGCUGAAAUAAGACGUGGUCACAAGUUAAUCAAGUGAAAUUGUAUUAAACAACAGUAAAUUUACAAGAUUCGACUCCUCGUCUCUUGUUAGUGAUCAAACGGAAUGGAGAUGGCAGUGGUGGAAUAACGCCACGUAUCACGUGAAAUUGUUGCCCUGGAAUUACCAUGAGGUUCGGAUUACUGGUUGCGGGCUUUUAGUCGGCCAUUUUGGGAGAUUGUUACUUUGCUCAAUUUUUCCACGCACAUGUGCGACCUUACACUGGAAGGAGAUAGUAAAUCAGGAUUCUAUUGCUAAUUUCUAUCAACCAAAGCUACAGUCUAAGAAGCCUAUUAACUCAAACAGCCCUCUGACUGAAAAGGUGAGCGUGGAUGGUCCUCCCCUGAGAGCGGAAGGAAGAGUCAGUGAAUUGAAUGAGGAUCCCGGUUUGGGAGGUAUCUGCUGGUCUCUGGAUGAGUGAGAGUAUUGACGAAAGGAAAUAGAUUUCUUUUGAAAGAAGAGCGCAGUCAUUCCUCCACGUCUGUUGCUCUAUAUAAGCGUUGAAUCGUGGUACUGUGUCCCUGUUAAGACGGACAUCCAGUGGACAAAAGAAGAAGAAAAAGAAUUGUAAGGCCACCACUUCGACCACGCGGUAAGGACGGAGGCGGCCGGCCCUGCAUUUUGUGAGAGAUUAUAGAAUAAUUACCCUACUGAGCGUUCGGUGGGAGAGCGAAGAGCAGUCGCGGAUAAAAUUGCCGAGGUUAGAGUCACCGUACAGCGGGGCCGUGUCGAUCUCCGUCUUCUAGAUUUAAUAUUUUCGUCUACCGUUUCCUCCCUCGGGGAAAGUGUCGCGAGCUGCGACGCGACGAUGCGUGCAGGGUUCGUCGAAGAAUUUUGACAUACUAUGCCGAAUAUCUAUCCUGAACGCUGUAGAAUCAGACGUAUUAUAUUGUUUGAUACCGAGUCAUAGACUUUGAUAAAGCGUAUGAAUUUCUUUAUAUCGCGAAUAUUAUACCGAAUCAUGGAACAGUCACAUGAGAGAAUAGUGUUCGGCGGCUGUCAUGUAUUCUUUGUUUUCACCUGUUAAUUCUAGACUGUUAAUAUAUUAUUCUUAUAUUCAUUAAA
Molecule: long non-coding RNA, 1709 nt
Filed under: Monomorium pharaonis (pharaoh ant)
Lineage: Eukaryota; Metazoa; Arthropoda; Insecta; Hymenoptera; Formicidae
Description: uncharacterized LOC118647086
Source: RNAcentral